Molecule: unclassified non-coding RNA, 569 nt
Filed under: Hevea brasiliensis (rubber tree)
Lineage: Eukaryota; Viridiplantae; Streptophyta; Magnoliopsida; Malpighiales; Euphorbiaceae
Source: RNAcentral
UGUUGAGAUUAUAAAGCAAAAAGAUGGGAGGAGCAAGGGCUUUGCGUUUGUGACUAUGGCCUCUGGGGAGGAAGCUCAGGCUGUUAUUGAUAAAUUUGACUCUCAUGAACUUUCAGGGAGGAUUAUUAGGGUUGAAUUUGCAAAGAGGUUCAGGAAACCCUCUCCUCCACUUCCUCCAGGCACUCCUGCCCGGGAGACCCGACAUAAGCUCUAUGUUUCCAAUCUUGCUUGGAAAGUUAGAGCAACUCAUCUGAGGGACUUUUUCUCUGCUAAUUUCAACCCGAUUUCAAGUAGAGUUGUCUUUGACAGCCCUUCUGGAAGAUCUGCUGGCUAUGGGUUUGUUUCAUUUGCCACACAGGAGGAGGCAGUUGCUGCUAUAUCUGCUCUUGAUGGAAAGGAAUUAAUGGGUCGACCGCUUCAGCUGAAAUUCAGUGAAAGAAAGGCUGAUGAAUCUGGAAGUGCAACGCAAGAGGAAGUAAUAUAAAUACCCAUCAUUUGGUAACCAUGCCUUUGGUUUGCUGAUCGACGGUACAAAUAAAGCAGCAGCAGCGGAUAUGGCAAAAAAUUAU